GUUUGUGGCUCAGUGGUAGAGUGCUUGCCUAGCAAGUGUGAGGACUGGGUUCGAUACCCAGCACCACA
This 68-nucleotide transfer RNA is filed under the name Marmota monax (woodchuck). RNAcentral's name for it is "tRNA.Ala". The stretch from base 4 to 63 matches the Rfam family "tRNA", at positions 6 to 65 of the family's 71-position model. From Rfam's summary of the family: Transfer RNA (tRNA) molecules are approximately 80 nucleotides in length. The record is from RNAcentral. Lineage: Eukaryota; Metazoa; Chordata; Mammalia; Rodentia; Sciuridae.